GCUAACUACGUGCCAGCAGCCGCGGUAAUACGUAGGGCGCAAGCGUUAUCCGGAAUUAUUUGGCGUAAAGAGCUCGUAGGCGGUUUGUCGCGUCUGCCGUGAAAGUCCGGGGCUCAACCCCGGAUCUGCGGUGGGUACGGGCAGACUAGAGUGAUGUAGGGGAGACUGGAAUUCCUGGUGUAGCGGUGAAAUGCGCAGAUAUCAGGAGGAACACCGAUGGCGAAGGCAGGUCUCUGGGCAUUAACUGACGCUGAGGAGCGAAAGCAUGGGGAGCGAACAGGAUUAGAUACCCUGGUAGUCCAUGCCGUAAACGUUGGGCACUAGGUGUGGGGGACAUUCCACGUUUUCCGCGCCGUAGCUAACGCAUUAAGUGCCCCGCCUGGGGAGUGCGGCCGCAAGGCUAAAACUCAAAGGAAUUGACGGGGGCCCGCACAAGCGGCGGAGCAUGCGGAUUAAUACGAUGCAACGCGAAGAACCUUACCAAGGCUUGACAU
RNAcentral lists this ribosomal RNA (494 nucleotides) under Arthrobacter sp. Nj-43. RNAcentral describes it as "bacterial SSU rRNA". It matches the Rfam family "Bacterial small subunit ribosomal RNA", at positions 496 to 987 of the family's 1533-position model. Lineage: Bacteria; Bacillati; Actinomycetota; Actinomycetes; Micrococcales; Micrococcaceae. The record is from RNAcentral.